RNAcentral lists this unclassified non-coding RNA (352 nucleotides) under soil metagenome. RNAcentral describes it as "partial contains 5.8S ribosomal RNA, internal transcribed spacer 2, and large subunit ribosomal RNA". The stretch from base 1 to 120 matches the Rfam family "5.8S ribosomal RNA", at positions 35 to 154 of the family's 154-position model. The record is from RNAcentral.
GAUGAAGAACGCAGCGAAAUGUGAUAAGUAAUGUGAAUUGCAGAAUUCAGUGAAUCAUCGAAUCUUUGAACGCACAUUGCGCCCGCCAGUAUUCUGGCGGGCAUGCCUGUUCGAGCGUCAUUACAACCCUCAGGCCCCCGGGCCUGGCGUUGGGGAUCGGCGGAGCCCCCCGUGGGCACACGCCGUCCCCCAAAUACAGUGGCGGUCCCGCCGCAGCUUCCAUCGCGUAGUAGCUAACACCUCGCGACUGGAGAGCGGCGCGGCCACGCCGUAAAACACCCAACUCUUCUGAAGUUGACCUCGAAUCAGGUAGGAAUACCCGCUGAACUUAAGCAUAUCAAUAAGCGGAGGA